GCAAGUCAUGCCAAACAGUGAUUUUCAUUUGCUUUCAUUACAAGAGUCAUCAUAUUUAUCUUUUAGUAUAGUGUAUAAUAGUUUGUAUGUCUGGUAGUUUAACAAAAGCUCACAGCAAUCUCUUUGCUAGUCAUGGCUUGUUCUUUCUUUCCUGCUGUCUCUUAAUGAUGUGUUGCUGCUGCUGCAAAAGAUUUUUUUUGGACAUCCCAUAGAGAAUCAUUGUCGUCGCAUGGGACGCGAGCGCCCCCAACCACAAAUGUUGCUGGCACCUACACACAGAUACACACACGCACGCACACACACGCACAUAGACAAACACACAAGUCAUUAAGUGUUAAUUUAAUGGCCAAGAGAUCUUUGUCACAGAUAACAAAUGCAUGCAUUUUUAUACGCACACAGAAGAGAUAGAGAGAGAGAGAGAAGAACGUGAAGAGAGAGGCAACGAUGAGGAGUUCUUUUGGGCUUCUAUCUGAGCCCUGGCAUCUCUUACAAGUUUGUGGAAAACAUUUUGUGCGCAGCAGGUGAUAUAUGUGUUGUCUGCUUAUGGAAACAACCAGCAACCAACAACCAGCAAACAACAACUAACGCCUCCUCCUUUGGCUUUGGUCAUAUGAUAUUUGUGUGUUGUCGGGUUGCUCGGUUUGUUAACGCUGACAGACAAUUAAGUGUUUGCUUUAUGUUUAUUGGAAUGGAUUUGCCGCAGCAACGCACGUUGUGCGUUCAGCGUUCAGUGUUGUGCGUUGCGCGUUCUUCUCUCUUAACAAAUUGAUUGAUGACAGACACCCUGAAUCUAUAAAGAGAGAGAGAGAGAUGGAGAGCGACAAGUUUCUUUCGUUGGAGAAUAAAGUCUUGAAUUACCAGCUCAACUGGUAGCCCACCAACACCUGGCCAUCAACAUUUUCGAGGGCUACUUUAAGUAAUAAAAGUGCCAAGUAACAAAGUAGUCAUAGUCCAUAUAGUAGUAGGAGGCGUAGGCUCAGCCAACAGAAAAAAAAACAAGGCGUGUGUAUAGCCUAGAAAAUGAUGACGAUGUAACGGAAACUUUUUAAUUAAAAUUCGAAAAAUUAAUUAAAUAUUUUUGUGACGCCCGAGUCAGAGUCAGAGCGAAAGCGAGAGCCCAAGCGCUGACGAUGACGACUUUGAGAUUAAAUUUCCAACCUACCUACGAAAUGCAAACCCACUGCGAAAGACAGUGAGACUGACUGUCGAAAAGUUUGCUUGGCAAAAUACGAACACAAAAAAAGAAGGAAAACAGCAACAAGUACAAUAGCAACAACAACAAGUUGAUGAAACAACACUAACAACAAGUUUUUGGUAAGGCAGUUGGAGAAGGCAACAAUAUCAAGUGCAAAAUGAGAAAAUUCACUUGCUCUAGUCAAACAACAACAAAAACUGUGCGAAAACGCCGUUGCUGGAAGGUCGUUAGAUGGGGGAAAAGGUGGAAGGUUGUAAGCUUUUUGAGGGUAGAAUGAAGAAGAACUCGACUCGACUCGACUUCACUCGUCUCGCUUUGCAGAUAGAAAAACAAAAGAAAGUUUGCCAGCAGAAAAGACAAAAAAAGUGAAUGUAGUACAAAUGCCAAAAUGAGAAAGGAGCCAACAAGCGAAAGAUGAGCAAGAGAAGAAGCUACGAAUAACACAACAAAAAAAACAGUUAAUGAUGCACAACUGAUAAGCCAAAAAGAUGACACACAGCCGCAACUACAAGUGCAACUGCAACUGCAGAAUGAAAAAAGAAGAAGCCACUUCAACUUCCCCCAGCUCAAUUGCCAACUAACGACUGUGAAAACCAGUUGCAAGUAGGCUGAAUCUGUGUUAUCAGAUGGCGGAUGAUGCAGAACGCUGCAAUGAGAAUGCCAGAGAUAAUGGCAACUAUCGUAAAUGUGAAAGAUGAAGAAAACAUUCCGAGUGCAAACCACUUGAAAGCCAAAAGAAAAAUCUGUGAAAGUUGCAGAGGAAAAACAAUUGAGAAGUACGCAAUUUGCAUGUGAAAAACAUAAUUAUGGUCAAGUACAUAUUAGCAAACAUAAGCAUUAACCGAUAAUCACAUAUUAAUUAUGUAGUGCGAGCUGAUGUUAAACCCCUUCGCAUUGAACCCGUUCAAACAUCAUCAACAACAAGUAGCAAAAGAGAAAAAGGGUGAAAUUAAAGCCAUGACCCAAAGAUCUAUCCGACUUAAUGUUGCCAAUCAAUCAUUCGCUCACUUGAUGGGCUACAAAUUACUACAAAAAAAGGGAAAAUGGGGAAAAAUGAGAACAACUGCAAAUGGCAAAAGUUACGAGACAAGGGCAAAAAACUUAGUCGCAUAUGUGAUGCUUCCUUUACUUCCGAUAAUGAAUUAUAUGGCUGUGCGAAACGCAAGAAAAAAGGAAAAUAAAUACGAACAAGUAAGAAGGCAAAUGUUGAGUGUGCUUUGCUGUGCGAUACCCGCUACCCAUUGUGAAUAGAAGCAAAACUGAGCGGUAUUAAUUUUAAAAUAUUCCAAAUUAGUA
Long non-coding RNA from Drosophila sulfurigaster albostrigata, 2491 nucleotides. RefSeq lists it as uncharacterized. The record is from RefSeq and is a predicted model, not a curated record. The transcript has 2 exons. NCBI's taxonomy places the organism in Eukaryota, Metazoa, Arthropoda, Insecta, Diptera, Drosophilidae.